RNAcentral lists this ribosomal RNA (562 nucleotides) under Lodderomyces metapsilosis. Its description in RNAcentral is "Candida metapsilosis partial large subunit ribosomal RNA". It matches the Rfam family "Eukaryotic large subunit ribosomal RNA", at positions 88 to 666 of the family's 3401-position model. Lineage: Eukaryota; Fungi; Ascomycota; Pichiomycetes; Serinales; Debaryomycetaceae. The record is from RNAcentral.
GGCGAGUGAAGCGGCAAAAGCUCAAAUUUGAAAUCUGGCACUUUCAGUGUCCGAGUUGUAAUUUGAAGAAGGUAUCUUUGGGUCUGGCUCUUGUCUAUGUUUCUUGGAACAGAACGUCACAGAGGGUGAGAAUCCCGUGCGAUGAGAUGACCCAGACCUAUGUAAAGUUCCUUCGAAGAGUCGAGUUGUUUGGGAAUGCAGCUCUAAGUGGGUGGUAAAUUCCAUCUAAAGCUAAAUAUUGGCGAGAGACCGAUAGCGAACAAGUACAGUGAUGGAAAGAUGAAAAGAACUUUGAAAAGAGAGUGAAAAAGUACGUGAAAUUGUUGAAAGGGAAGGGCUUGAGAUCAGACUUGGUAUUUUGUAUGUUACUCUUUCGGGGGUGGCCUCUACAGUUUACCGGGCCAGCAUCAGUUUGGGCGGUAGGAGAAUUGCAAAGAAAUGUGGCACUGCUUCGGUAGUGUGUUAUAGUCUUUGUCGAUACUGCCAGCCUAGACUGAGGACUGCGGCUUCGGCCUAGGAUGUUGGCAUAAUGAUCUUAAGUCGCCCGUCUUGAAACACGGAC